AGAGAUGUGUGAUGACGCAUAUCAAUAAGCGGAGGAAAAGAAACUAACAAGGAUUCCCUUAGUAACGGCGAGUGAAGCGGGAAGAGCUCAAAUUUGAAAUCUUCAAGGUUCUACCUUGACGAAUUGUAGUUUAUAGAAGUGUUUUCUGUUAGUAGAGUGGCAAAAGUUCUUUGAAAUAGGACAUCAUAGAGGGUGAGAAUCCCGUAUUUGGUCAUUCUUUCUAGCUUUGUGAUACACUUUCAACGAGUCGGAUUGUUUGGGAAUGCAGUCCAAAAUGGGUGGUAAAUUUCAUCUAAAGCUAAAUAUUGGCGAGAGACCGAUAGCGAACAAGUACCGUGAGGGAAAGAUGAAAAGAACUUUGAAAAGAGAGUUAAACAGUACGUGAAAUUGUCAAAAGGGAAGCGUUUGACACCAGUGUUGUUUUCUCGAAAAUCAAUUAAAAAUGACUGGAUUUUGUGUUGUAUUGACUUUAUCAGCUUUCUGCACUUUUUUCCUGUCUUUUUUAAUGCACUUUUCGUUUAACAAGUCAACAUCAAUUUCUUUUGUUGUAAAAGAGUCAUUGGAAGGUGGCUUUCUUUUCGGAGAAAGUGUUUAUAGCCUUGUACCUCUGCAAUCGGAGAGAUUGAGGUCUGCAGCGUAGAUCCUUCGGGGUUAGAUACAUUUGUGCUAAGUUAUAGUUUUUCAUAGACAACAUGUUGACUAUGAUUAAGUCAUUGUAGCUUACUCGCUUUGGCUAUUUUACCUACGCUUAGGAUGUUGAGUCGUAGAGCACGCAG
This 776-nucleotide ribosomal RNA is filed under the name uncultured Neocallimastigales. RNAcentral describes it as "partial large subunit ribosomal RNA". It matches the Rfam family "Eukaryotic large subunit ribosomal RNA", at positions 23 to 632 of the family's 3401-position model. Lineage: Eukaryota; Fungi; Neocallimastigomycota; Neocallimastigomycetes; Neocallimastigales. The record is from RNAcentral.